UAUUGUUGAUGCUCAACUUCCCGUCUUUGGCCAGUAGGAGCCGCCUCAGUCUCCCGAGUCCGUCGGACAUGGCCCUGAAAUCUCGGAUUGCUUCCUCGCGACCUGGAGCCGCCUCAGUCUCCCGAGUCCGUCGGACAUGGCCCUGAAAUCUCGGAUUGCUUCCUCGCGACCUGGUGCUCGUCCAAGUCACGUCGUCAGCUGGGGCUGUCACCGGAGGACGAGACUGCCCGUUGCCCUUUGCAUCAGUCACAUGAAAUCUCUCCGUGGACCGUGCGGCUCCUCUAGCUCUGGUUUCAUUUGUGAUCACACUUUGAAAAGUGGCGAUAACACACUGUGGGUUCUUGUCAUUUCUUCAUGAAAGAAAUAAUAUAUAUCAACAAGAUAUUUAAAGUUGCCCAUCGUCCUUCCACUCAGAACCGAAGUUACACCUGCCGCCUGCCCUUCCAGAUUCCCUCCUCCGAGGCUGACGCGCACACGCUGGUGAAGGCGCGUCGGGACUGUUCUCGUUGUAACAGGAAACCCCGCCGGCAGCGGCACGCACAGGAGGAACACGCGUCGUCUCACACGGUGCCCCCUGGAGGGGGUCCACUCCAGGACUGCUGAGCGCACUGGCCCAGCCGGGUCACCGAAAACGCCGGGCCUUCUGUCUCUCUGCUCCGCCGCCCUCCAGCGCUGGGAGGCCUUCCCUCGCGUCUCAGCACGGCCGGGCAGGCCCCGACUCGGUGGUCCGUCAUUGUGGGAGGCAGAGGCCAGCCAGUGGGAAGGGGGCGUUUCCCUUCCUUGCGUGUCUCUGUGAGGGCGGGGGAACACUUCCAGAAAUUCCCCGAGACGGUGCUUCGCUCUGCCGCCAGAAUCGGGUCGAUGGCGCAUCCCUCCGCCAUUCCCAGGCGCGGGGAGUGGGAGGACCAGGAGCGGCUUGGGCUGGGGGUGGGCCUGCUUUCCCCGUGACGCGUGUGGUCGCCCGUCAUCCCCCCGAAAUGGGUUUUCUUAGCAAAGACGGCAGGGCCCAGGGUAGAAAGUGGUGGUUGGGUGGGUGGCCUACAGAUCUGCCCCAUUUGGGGGUUCAUGGGUAUCUGAGGAGUCAUGUCUGUACUUUAAAAAGAAAUACAAGAUUUCUACUACUUUGAUUCAUUUUUAAUCAUUUUAGAAUCUCAAACACUUAAGGAGAAGACGAAAUUCUUCUCUCUAAAGAUGGUAAGAUGCUACUGGCCUAACAUACUGUAAACAUCUCCAUACCCUUAAAUCUUUAAUCGCUGGCAUUUUAUUAUUUUUCUCACCAAUUCCCCGUCGAUGGGCAGAGGCUCUUUGCGGUUUCUCCUCGUUGUAGACAUCGCCAGGACGGCCGCCCUCGGGCCGAGUUUCGUGCGCCCUGCUCUUGGGCUCUGAAGGGAAGGGCUGUGUCAAGGCACAGGACGCGUCCUGGCUUUUGAAAGGUGUCCGCACGUUGUCCUCCAGAAAGGUCUUGACCAGCUGGCCCUCCACCAGCAGGUGGUCACUUUGCCACAAUAUAAACCAACUACGUUUUUGUGGGGUGUUUUUUUUUUGC
Molecule: long non-coding RNA, 1546 nt
Organism: Phyllostomus hastatus (greater spear-nosed bat)
Lineage: Eukaryota; Metazoa; Chordata; Mammalia; Chiroptera; Phyllostomidae
Exons: 3
Source: RefSeq, a predicted model, not a curated record